GAUGGCGUAAAUGAUGACUAAUUUUUUUUCCCCGGCAGAUCGACUCUGUUGACUUUUAUAGAAAAAUAAGCCAAAUUAUCUGAGCCGUCUUC
Small nucleolar RNA from Astyanax mexicanus (Mexican tetra), 92 nucleotides. Lineage: Eukaryota; Metazoa; Chordata; Actinopteri; Characiformes; Acestrorhamphidae. The record is from Ensembl.